This 488-nucleotide ribosomal RNA is filed under the name uncultured bacterium. RNAcentral describes it as "bacterial SSU rRNA". It matches the Rfam family "Bacterial small subunit ribosomal RNA", at positions 322 to 807 of the family's 1533-position model. The record is from RNAcentral.
AGAUACGGGCCCGACUCCUACGGGAGGCAGCAGUAGGGAAUAUUGGGCAGUGGAUGCAAGUCUGACCCAGCCAUGCUGCGUGCCGGAUGAAGGCCCUCAGGGUUGUAAACGGCUUUUAUUCCGGAAGAAGAGCAGGGAUGCGUCCUUGUGUGACGGUACCGAAUGAAUAAGCACCGGCUAACUCCGUGCCAGCAGCCGCGGUAAUACGGAGGGUGCGAGCGUUGUCCGGAUUUAUUGGGUUUAAAGGGUGCGCAGGUGGCCUGUUAAGUCAGUGGUGUAAUACAGCCGCUCAACGGUUGAGGUGCCAUUGAUACUGACGGGCUUGAAAUAAUUGGAGGCUGCCGGAAUGGAUGGUGUAGCGGUGAAAUGCAUAGAUAUCAUCCAGAACACCGAUUGCGAAGGCAGGUGGCUACGAUUGGUUUGACACAGAGGCACGAAAGCAUGGGGAGCAAACAGGAUUAGAUACCCUGGUAGUCCAUGCUGUAAAC